Molecule: long non-coding RNA, 2472 nt
Organism: Sapajus apella (tufted capuchin)
Lineage: Eukaryota; Metazoa; Chordata; Mammalia; Primates; Cebidae
Exons: 3
Source: RefSeq, a predicted model, not a curated record
UUAACCUCAUGAUCCGCCUGCCUUGGCCUCCCAAAGUGCUGGGAUUACAGGCGUGAGCCACUGCACCCAGCCUUUUCACAUUUCUUAAAGUACAUUCUAAAACCAACUGGCCCUUAAUAAGAUAACUAUAGUAACCAUGCAAAGAAGGAAUUAUCUUCCAGGUACCACAGCCAGAACAUCUUAGAGGGCACAUCUGUUACAGAUAACAGAAGCCAAGGCACAAAUUAAUCAUUCAUCAUAUUUGCUUUAAAUUUAUACUAGCAAUUUGUCUUUUCAAACAAACAGAUCUGGUCUCAGGGCAUUCCAGCAAAAAAAAGUUAAAUAUUAACAGUUCUGAAAAUUAUUCAAAAAUAUCAGUUUAUAAUGUACUACUUGGUAUACAGAUAUUAACACUAUUUAAAAAAUUUUUUAAUUUCAUCAAAAUUUAAAAAAAUAUCAGUGUAUAAUGUAUUGGUAUAUGGAUCCAUAUACCAAUACAUUAUACACUGAUAUUUUUAAGAUUUUGAUGAAAUCUUAAAAUUUUUUAAACUUUCGAUGAAAUUACAAAUAAACUUUAUUAAAAUUUUGACGAAAUUACAGAUAAACUUAAUUACAAAUUAUUGAAGAAACCAUAGAAAAAAUUUUAUUGCAAUUCCAAACGACUUUCAAUAAUUUUAAAAAAAGGAUCAGCCUAUAUAUGCAUUUUUUAAAAUUAGACGUUUUUUACCCGCAGUGUACUUUAUAUCAAUGUUGUUUUUGAGGUAAGACAACCAUAAUUCCUAGGAAGUGUUUAAUUUGCUUGAUCACUAACAUGCAAAAAUAAUGGAAGCAGACUAUUAUUCUCAAGAUGCUACUUAUCUAAUAGUACAUAAAAUAAUCUUGACAGCAGUUGUUCAACUCUUUCCCAUAUUAAACAUUCUAACAUUAAAUUAUUAAAUAGUAUUCUGUAUUUACUCUAGGUUGAGAGGUUCUCUAAAAAACCCAAAAGAUAGCACACUUCUUUAAAAACACAAAAUUUUUUAAAAAGGAAGUUGAUAUGAUUUGAAUGUGCCCCCAAAUUUCCUGUGUUAGAAACUUAAUCCCCAAAUUCAUACAAUGAUGGUAUUUGGUGGCAGGGUCUUUGUGAGGUAAUCAGAAUUAAAUAAGGUCAUGGGUUGGGAGUGGGCCAUGAUGGGAUUGGUGGGUUUUGUAAGUAGGGAAGGAGAAACCUGAGGUGGCACCCUCCCGCCCUCUCACCAUGUGACUCCCUCCACUAUGUUAUGAUGUAGCUAGCUAGAAGGCCCCCACUAGAUGCCAACCCCCCAGUCUUGGACUUCCCAGCAUCCAAAACUGUAAGAAAUAGUUUUUAAAAAUACAUUACCAGUUUCAGAUAUUCUGCUGCAGUAACCGAUAAUGGACUAAGAUACAAGUUUUUGCCUGCUAGCCAUUAAUAGAAGCUGUGAUGUAAUUCUGUACUUCUUUAUGAAUACAGUGAAUAUGACAAUCAGAAUAAUAUAUCCACUUUAAUAUAAAGCUCUUUAUGCUUUACAUAAUUUGGAAACCACAUUCUGCCUAGCUCCCAAAUAUAAUGCCCUCAAAAGGAUGUAAUAUUCAAAAAGGUUUUAUUUAGGAUCUCUGAAACAAACUUAAAGAUGGGAGUGUCACUUAUAUAAUCUAGCUCCCAUAUCUGUCAUACUCAUCCAGUGUCACAAUAAAGAGUAUUUAACAAUGUAAAUAAUUCCUAACUCUCCCAUUACCCUUAAAGACAGAAUUGCAUUUCCACCAUCUACUGGAUCUUUCAAUCUGGAUAUCACAACUAAAACUAAACACUUCUUUUUAAAAACAACCAUCAUCAUUCCUCCUACAGCCUCUCUCUUUAACCUCUUCUCCCUCUCCUGUCUCUCAUCUUUACUUAUCAUUAACAUCAAUCCAGAUACUCAAGCUAUGAGCUGAACCAUCUAUUGCUGGUUUUUUUUAAAGACCAAAAAAUUAAAUACAAUUCAAACUAAUAAAAACUUCUCAUGAGUAUCUCUGACCUGUUUCUCUACCCUGUUUCCCUCAUAUCCAAUCAGUCAAAAAGCCUCAACAAUUACACCCUCUUACUGCUCUCUUCUUCCAUCCUGUCAUUUCCUUUCCUGCUCAUUAUGUUCUCUAUUCCUGUAACAGAUCUUUCAAUUUUACUGGUCUUCUUAUUGUAUAUCUAUAAUAUUACAUGUUAUAGAUGUACUAUAUUAUCAUCUCCAGAAACAACUAUGCCCGAAACACAAAUCAAAGCUGAAAAGGUCCCAUUAAUUAUAGAAUUAAAUCUAAACUACUGGCACAGCAUUCAGUAAUCUUUAUGACUUGGCCAGUCUCCACUGGACUACCUGCCAUUUCUUAAACAAAUCAAACAUGCACUUUCAGACCCUUAUACCUUCGAUCGUACUAUUCCUUUAAUUUGAAAUGUUCUUACUGCCCCUUUACCUACAGAAAUCUGUCUCAUUCUUCAGUGUCAGGAGACAGAAAUCAUUCAGA